UASGGGAGCAGCAGUGGGRAAUUWUGAAAAAKGGCGAAAGCCUGAUCAAGAAAUSCCCCGUUUKURAAGAAGCCWWARGGUUGUAAAGCACUUWUGUCCGGAAAGAAAACUUMUGCCCWAAUACGGCGGGAGGAUGACGGUACCGGAAGAAUAAGCACCGGCUAACUACGUGCCAGCAGCCGCGGUAAUACGUAGGGUGCAAGCGUUAAUCGGAAUUACUGGGCGUAAAGCGUGCGCAGGCGGUCCGCUAAGACAGAUGUGAAAUCCCCGGGCUUAACCUGGGAACUGCAUUUGUGACUGGCGGGCUAGAGUAUGGCAGAGGGGGGUAGAAUUVDACGUGUAGCAGUGAAAUGCGUAGAGAUGUGGAGGAAUACCGAUGGCGAAGGCAGCCCVVKGGGCCAAUACUGACGCUDAUGCACGAAAGCGUGGGGAGCAAACAGGAUUAGAUACCNUGGUAGUCWACGCCCUAAACGAUGUCAACUAGUUGUUGGGUCKUKAUUGACUUGGUAACGUACKAC
RNAcentral lists this ribosomal RNA (518 nucleotides) under Paraburkholderia terricola. Its description in RNAcentral is "partial 16S ribosomal RNA". It matches the Rfam family "Bacterial small subunit ribosomal RNA", at positions 340 to 854 of the family's 1533-position model. Lineage: Bacteria; Pseudomonadati; Pseudomonadota; Betaproteobacteria; Burkholderiales; Burkholderiaceae. The record is from RNAcentral.